UGCGUAGGCGGACUUGUAAGUCAGGCGUGAAAACUAUCGGCUCAACCGAUAGCUUGCGUUUGAAACUGCGAGUCUUGAGUGGUGAAGAGGUAAGCGGAAUUCCUAGUGUAGCGGUGAAAUGCGUAGAUAUUAGGAGGAACACCAGUGGCGAAGGCGGCUUACUGGGCACUAACUGACGCUGAGGCACGAAAGCAUGGGGAGCAAACA
Molecule: ribosomal RNA, 207 nt
Filed under: uncultured bacterium
Lineage: Bacteria
Description: partial 16S ribosomal RNA
Rfam family: Bacterial small subunit ribosomal RNA
Source: RNAcentral